CUUAAAUACGCGAUGGGGUAUUGUAAGUGGCAAAGUGGCCUUGCUGCCACGAUCCACUGAGAUUCAGCCCCAUGUCGCUCCGAUUCGUAUCAUUUGCAGA
This is a long non-coding RNA of Populus euphratica (Euphrates poplar), 100 nucleotides long. RefSeq lists it as uncharacterized. Lineage: Eukaryota; Viridiplantae; Streptophyta; Magnoliopsida; Malpighiales; Salicaceae. The transcript has 3 exons. The record is from RefSeq and is a predicted model, not a curated record.